Molecule: transfer RNA, 72 nt
Filed under: Acropora cervicornis
Lineage: Eukaryota; Metazoa; Cnidaria; Anthozoa; Scleractinia; Acroporidae
Description: tRNA-Ser
Rfam family: tRNA (bases 8-64)
About the family: Transfer RNA (tRNA) molecules are approximately 80 nucleotides in length.
Source: RNAcentral
GAAAUGAAGCUCAGUUGCUAGAGCACUGCAGCGCUAUUGCAGAGGCCAUGGGUUCAAAUCCCGUUGAAGUCC